RNAcentral lists this ribosomal RNA (505 nucleotides) under uncultured bacterium. Its description in RNAcentral is "partial 16S ribosomal RNA". It matches the Rfam family "Bacterial small subunit ribosomal RNA", at positions 28 to 507 of the family's 1533-position model. The record is from RNAcentral.
GACGAACGCUGGCGGCGUGCCUAAUACAUGCAAGUAGAACGCACAGUUUAUACCGUAGCUUGCUACACCAUAAACUGUGAGUUGCGAACGGGUGAGUAACGCGUAGGUAACCUGCCUGGUAGCGGGGGAUAACUAUUGGAAACGAUAGCUAAUACCGCAUAAUAUUAAUUAUUGCAUGAUAAUUGAUUGAAAGAUGCAAUUGCAUCACUACCAGAUGGACCUGCGUUGUAUUAGCUAGUAGGUGAGGUAACGGCUCACCUAGGCGACGAUACAUAGCCGACCUGAGAGGGUGAUCGGCCACACUGGGACUGAGACACGGCCCAGACUCCUACGGGAGGCAGCAGUAGGGAAUCUUCGGCAAUAGACGAAAGUCUGACCGAGCAACGCCGCGUGAGGGAAGAAGGUUUUCGGAUCGUAAAGAUCUGUUGUAAGAGAAGAACGGGUGUGAGAGUGGAAAGUUCACACUGUGACGGUAUCUUACCAGAAAGGGACGGCUAACUACGUG